RNAcentral lists this ribosomal RNA (405 nucleotides) under uncultured bacterium. Its description in RNAcentral is "bacterial SSU rRNA". It matches the Rfam family "Bacterial small subunit ribosomal RNA", at positions 30 to 440 of the family's 1533-position model. The record is from RNAcentral.
AUUGAACGCUGGCGGCAUGCCUUACACAUGCAAGUCGAACGGCAGCACGGGAGCAAUCCUGGUGGCGAGUGGCGAACGGGUGAGUAAUAUAUCGGAACGUGCCCAGUCGUGGGGAUAACGUAGCGAAAGCUACGCUAAUACCGCAUACGAUCUAUGGAUGAAAGCGGGGGAUCGCAAGACCUCGCGCGAUUGGAGCGGCCGAUAUCAGAUUAGGUAGUUGGUGAGGUAAAGGCUCACCAAGCCGACGAUCUGUAGCUGGUCUGAGAGGACGACCAGCCACACUGGGACUGAGACACGGCCCAGACUCCUACGGGAGGCAGCAGUGGGGAAUUUUUGGGACAAUGGGCGCAAGCCUGAUCCAGCAAUGCCGCGUGCAGGAUGAAGGCUGGUGUAACUGCUUUGUAC